Papio anubis (olive baboon) is the source of this 117-nucleotide non-coding RNA. NCBI's taxonomy places the organism in Eukaryota, Metazoa, Chordata, Mammalia, Primates, Cercopithecidae. The record is from Rfam.
GCCAGGCGUGGUGACUCACGCCUGUAAUCCCAGUACUGUGGGAGGCUGAGGUGGGUGGAUCACCUGUGGUCAGGAGUUCGAGACCAGCCUGGCCAACAUGGUGAAACCCUGUCUCUA